AGUGCUGAUGGUCCUAGGGAUGUUCAUGUUGCUGAUAUGGACGGCGAUGGCGAUUUAGAUAUUGUCUCAGCUUCUAAUGUCGACAGCACCA
Molecule: transfer RNA, 91 nt
Filed under: Prochlorococcus marinus str. MIT 1342
Lineage: Bacteria; Bacillati; Cyanobacteriota; Cyanophyceae; Synechococcales; Prochlorococcaceae
Description: tRNA-Ser
Source: RNAcentral